RNAcentral lists this small RNA (113 nucleotides) under insect gut metagenome. RNAcentral's name for it is "ArcZ RNA". It matches the Rfam family "ArcZ RNA". Rfam says of the family: This RNA was discovered in E. coli during a large scale screen. SraH expression is highly abundant in stationary phase, but low levels could be detected in exponentially growing cells as well. ArcZ RNA function as an activator of the alternative sigma factor RpoS as a response of stress. The record is from RNAcentral.
GUGCGGCCUAAAUUUUGAGGCGGCGUCUGGUUCCAAAAUGAUAACAAUGUUCUCUACAGGCGCAGCCAAGAUUUCCCUGGUGUUGGCGCAGUAUUCGCGCACCCCGGUUUAGC